Molecule: long non-coding RNA, 2087 nt
Organism: Stegostoma tigrinum
Lineage: Eukaryota; Metazoa; Chordata; Chondrichthyes; Orectolobiformes; Stegostomatidae
Exons: 3
Source: RefSeq, a predicted model, not a curated record
UUCCUCAUAAUUGGGAUUGUCAGCAUAAACUGUGGCUAUAACCCAUGCUGUAGAAACUACUGACGAUACAGCCGCUUUAAAAUUCUGCUCUACGGGCCGUCCCUACGGUUCCACUUGCAAAUCGAUUUGUAUGCAAGUCAGAACAAAAGAUCUUUUGAACACUCCUUGCGCUUGAUGUUUCAAUGUCAUACAUCUAAUAUUGGCAGAACGUUGCUUUAAUGGAAUCAAACCCUUGUCCGGCCCUGUGGUGAAAUUGUUUGGUGACUGUCAAUACUGUUGGUUGCGAAAACACUGCUUCCAAACCAGUCAGGACUGGCUGAAGGCCACCACUCAAAAGAUUUUGUACCAAGGUACCAUCGCACCUAAGAUGGCUCUGGGACUGGCGGCACUGUCGACUUUUCGCUGAACUCUUGUAUUCGUGCACUUGAGUACACAUGAUGACAAAACUUAAUUCCAAUUCUAAUUCCAUGUGAACACCACUGGGAGUAUGUGCCAAGCUUGUCAAGAAUGUACCCUGGGUGGGAGACUUCAAUGUCAAUUACCAAGAGAGACGAGGCGUCACCACUGAAGACCAACUUGACUGAGCCCUAAAGAAAACAAAGCUGCUGGACUGAGUCUGCAGCAGGUAGUGGGAGAACCAGCAAAUAGGGAAAAUAAACUUAUUUUACCUUAUCUUCUGUCCAUUUUAGUAUUUCCAGGAGUGACCUCUGCAUAGUCAUUGUGGAAAUAAAGUCCCAUUUUCACAUUGAAGAUUGCCCUCUAUCAUGCUGUGAGGCACUACAGCUAUGCUAAAUGAAACAGACUUAGGAUAUAUCCAGCAAAACAAGACUUGAUAUCCAUCAGAAGCUGUGGGUCAUGGAUGCAGAAGAAUUGUAUCAAUCAGCAACCUGUCGCCAGCUGAAUCUCAUAUUGUGCGAACACUCAUUUAUAAACAGCUUCCCCUGCUGUUUGGGGGAAAGAAACAGCAGUAUAGCUGUGGCUUACAAUGAAUUUCAGUAGUCUGCUUUUUCAAAAAAUGCGGAACUCCUUUCCAAACUUUUUAGUUUCAAAGUAAUCCUUUUCAUAUGGUAGUAGUCACUAACAGUAUAAUUUUUUGAAAAUAUUUUCGGCAAAUCUAAAAUUAGAAUUUGGCAUCAGGUUGCUCAGCUGCCAGCCUUAAAAUUAAAGGAAAUCAGGGAGUGCACGUACUAUCUUUUCUAAAAAUAAUUUUUACACUUGUUUAAUAAAUAAGUCAGACACUUUAUAACUUGUGAACCAGUCACUCUGUGUGUCCUGUGAAGAAGUGAAUGAAUCGCAGGAAAAGGCUAGAGAACUGAAGGACUUGGGAAACAAAAGGAAUACUCCAUCAAAUCCAGAGGACUGGUGCAAUGGAACAAUUUCUCCAGCACUUGCCUCUCCUUUUAUCCAUAACACCACUUUUUUUUUCCCUUUAGUGACCUGAUAAACAUGGUAAAGAUAUUAAAAUAUCUGAAAAGAAAGUGGUUGUCAGUAAGGAAGAGUGUAAAUGAUGAGAAGGAUUUAAUUACUGAAUGUGCUUGGCAGAAAAUUUACAAAUGACACGGAGGCAAUGAGAUCUAUAAUUGGCUUAGUUUGGAAUUCUGAAAUGGAUGCUGGAAAGCCCAAAUAAAGGAUACACCAAUAAACAUUUAUACAUCUGGUACAACCACUGCUUGAUAAAGGAAACAAGAUAUCCUCCAUUGAAAGUAUCUACGCCUAGAUUUAGUGAAAAGAUUGACAUCAAUGAGGACUGUUGGAAUUGGCAUUUAAUGAACCACAAAGAAUUGCCAGUAUUCUUAGUAAAAUUCUCAAAGGAACAGAUGGACUUUAGGCGCGGGGAGAUUCUAACUGUGAAAUGGGAGUAGACAGAGCUCCAUAUGCUUUCAACCCUUCACUGUCCAGGAAUACUGUAGGCACCUGCCAAAAUGUGUAUGUGUGCUCAGGCAGUGUUUUUCAAAUAUGAGCGAGGAUGAUUAUGUCGAUCUGCCAGUAAUUUUAUUGGAAACAAAGUCCAUGAAAUGGCACGGAAAAGAAGUUUCUCCCUAUUGAAUUUCAACAAAAUAGUAAAAACACGCUUUUAAACAUUCCAA